ACGUAGGGGGCGAGCGUUGUCCGGAAUCAUUGGGCGUAAAGGGCGUGUAGGCGGACGUUUAAGUCUGGUGUGAAAGACUGGGGCUCAACCCCAGGGCUGCACCGGAAACUGGGCGUCUUGAGGACAGGAGAGGAAAGCGGAAUUCCACGUGUAGUGGUGAAAUGCGUAGAGAUCCGGAGGAACCCCGGUGGCGAAGGCGACUUGCUGGGCCUGAACUGACGCUCAGACGCGAAAGCAUGGGGAGCGAACGG
Molecule: ribosomal RNA, 251 nt
Filed under: uncultured prokaryote
Description: partial 16S ribosomal RNA
Rfam family: Bacterial small subunit ribosomal RNA
Source: RNAcentral